Molecule: transfer RNA, 75 nt
Filed under: Elusimicrobia bacterium GWA2_66_18
Lineage: Bacteria; Pseudomonadati; Elusimicrobiota
Also listed under: 5 other names
Description: tRNA-Pro
Rfam family: tRNA
About the family: Transfer RNA (tRNA) molecules are approximately 80 nucleotides in length. Their secondary structure includes four short double-helical elements and three loops (D, anti-codon, and T loops).
Source: RNAcentral
CGGGGACUGGCUCAAUGGUAGAGCGCUCCCUUGGGGUGGGAGAGGCUACAGGUUCGAUUCCUGUGUCCCCGACCG